This 171-nucleotide long non-coding RNA is filed under the name Polistes fuscatus (common paper wasp). RNAcentral's name for it is "uncharacterized LOC122522737". Lineage: Eukaryota; Metazoa; Arthropoda; Insecta; Hymenoptera; Vespidae. The record is from RNAcentral.
UUUAUGUACGCUGGAUAUAAUAUAUGAUAGCCUAUUGGAAAGUGAUUUAAAUUUGCAGAGCAAUCCGGAUUGCAAACUUGAUGAAUAUAUAUCAGAAGCGAUGGACAUAGCUGUAACAAGAGUAGUGAAAUUCUGGUUACAUCCAAAUAUUAUAUUUAACAAUUCAUCUAU